GAUGAACGCUGGCGGCGUGCCUAAUACAUGCAAGUCGAGCGAACGGACGAGAAGCUUGCUUCUCUGAUGUUAGCGGCGGACGGGUGAGUAACACGUGGAUAACCUACCUAUAAGACUGGGAUAACUUCGGGAAACCGGAGCUAAUACCGGAUGAUAUUUUGAACCGCAUGGUUCAAAAGUGAAAGACGGUCUUGCUGUCACUUAUAGAUGGAUCCGCGCUGCAUUAGCUAGUUGGUAAGGUAACGGCUUACCAAGGCAACGAUGCAUAGCCGACCUGAGAGGGUGAUCGGCCACACUGGAACCGAGACGCGGUCCAGACUCCUACGGGAGGCAGCAGUAGGGAAUCUUCCGCAAUGGGCGAAAGCCUGACGGAGCAACGCCGCGUGAGUGAUGAAGGUCUUCGGAUCGUAAAACUCUGUUAUUAGGGAAGAACAUAUGUGUAAGUAACUGUGCACAUCUUGACGGUACCUAAUCAGAAAGCCACGGCUAACUACGUG
This 497-nucleotide ribosomal RNA is filed under the name uncultured bacterium. RNAcentral's name for it is "partial 16S ribosomal RNA". It matches the Rfam family "Bacterial small subunit ribosomal RNA", at positions 28 to 507 of the family's 1533-position model. The record is from RNAcentral.